CGUGGGUAACCUGCCUCAUACAGGGGGAUAGCAGCUGGAAACGGCUGAUAAAACCGCAUAGGCGCACAGCAUCGCAUGAUGCAGUGUGAAAAACUCCGGUGGUAUGAGAUGGACCCGCGUCUGAUUAGCUUGUUGGUGAGGUAACGGCCCACCAAGGCGACGAUCAGUAGCCGGCCUGAGAGGGUGACCAGCCACAUUGGGACUGAGACACGGCCCAA
Molecule: ribosomal RNA, 218 nt
Filed under: uncultured bacterium
Lineage: Bacteria
Description: partial 16S ribosomal RNA
Rfam family: Bacterial small subunit ribosomal RNA
Source: RNAcentral